UAGGGAAUAUUGCAAAAUGGGCGAAAGCCCGAUGCAGCAACGCCGCGUGGGCGAUGAAGGCCUUCGGGUCAUAAAGCCCUUUUUGAGGGGAUGAGGAAGGACAGUACCCUCAGAAUAAGCCUCGGCUAACUACGUGCCAGCAGCCGCGGUAAAACGUAGGAGGCGAGCGUUAUCCGGAUUUACUGGGCGUAAAGCGCGUGCAGGCGGAUUGGAGAGUUGGAUGUGAAAGCUCCCGGCUUAACUGGGAGAGGUCGUUCAAUACUUCCAGUCUUGAGUGCAGUAGAGGGAAGUGGAAUUCCGGGUGUAGUGGUGAAAUGCGUAGAUAUCCGGAGGAACACCAGUGGCGAAAGCGGCUUCCUGGACUGUAACUGACGCUCAGACGCGAAAGCUAGGGUAGCAAACG
RNAcentral lists this ribosomal RNA (403 nucleotides) under uncultured bacterium. RNAcentral describes it as "bacterial SSU rRNA". It matches the Rfam family "Bacterial small subunit ribosomal RNA", at positions 355 to 774 of the family's 1533-position model. The record is from RNAcentral.